Molecule: long non-coding RNA, 208 nt
Organism: Arabidopsis thaliana (thale cress)
Lineage: Eukaryota; Viridiplantae; Streptophyta; Magnoliopsida; Brassicales; Brassicaceae
Product: other RNA
Exons: 1
Source: RefSeq
CCCACGCUUGUCAUUACAAUAGUAGAAAACGUUAGGCAAAAGCAAGAAUCCGGUAAGAACUAUACGAAUGAUGAAUCUGUUUAUAAGAACAUGAGCAAAAGUUGGUUCAGUUUGUAAUGUGUUCAAAAGUGAUUCGUGAUCCGUUUUUUGAUCUCUCUUGUAGUUUUGGUGGAAACCUUAGCUUAAGUGAUCCGUUUCUUGAUCUCUC